GCCUGGGUGGCUCAAGUGGUUAAGCGUCUGACUUUGGCUCAGGUCAUGAUUUCAGAGUUCGUGGGUUCGAGCCCCACGUUGGGCU
This 85-nucleotide transfer RNA is filed under the name Felis catus (domestic cat). It matches the Rfam family "tRNA". Rfam says of the family: Transfer RNA (tRNA) molecules are approximately 80 nucleotides in length. Their secondary structure includes four short double-helical elements and three loops (D, anti-codon, and T loops). RNAcentral also lists the same sequence under 3 other names. The record is from Rfam by way of RNAcentral. Lineage: Eukaryota; Metazoa; Chordata; Mammalia; Carnivora; Felidae.